RNAcentral lists this small nucleolar RNA (441 nucleotides) under Sarcophilus harrisii (Tasmanian devil). RNAcentral describes it as "Small Cajal body-specific RNA 2 (ENSSHAG00000019069.2)". It matches the Rfam family "Small Cajal body-specific RNA 2". Lineage: Eukaryota; Metazoa; Chordata; Mammalia; Dasyuromorphia; Dasyuridae. The record is from Rfam by way of RNAcentral.
UGGGAGCGGUGAGGUUUAAGCACGCGGGGUGUUUGUUGUGCGUGAGGUGGCUGAGUUUAGCGAGCAAGGACGCGUGCAAGCCGUGUGGGUGUGCGUGCAAGUCCCGAGUGUGAGUGUGCAAGGCGAGUGCGUGCCCGCGUGCCGAACCGACCCCUUCCUGACGCGUUCCCCCCCUACACUCUGAUCUUAUUUGAUCGGGUCGCGCUCCCGCCUCGCCGGCCCGGCCCGAGAUGAGAAGCUCUCCUCCCGCGAAGCCCCGGCCCCCCCCGGGCCGAGGCGCUGUGCGGCGAGGCCUAUGCGAACAGGCGGCGGCCGCUCCCGGGCUUCCCGAGCCGGCCCUUCCGGGGCCGGCCCGGCCGGGCGCUCAGAAGUGAUGAGUUGAUCAGAUAGACGAGGCGGGGCUCGCCCCUGCCCUUGAGUAUCGAGGCGAUUCUGAUCUGA